CCCUUAGAUGUUCUGGGCCGCACGCGCGCUACACUGAUGCAUUCAACGAGUCUAAAACCUGCUCUGAUAGGGGUGGGUAAUCUUUUGAAUGUGCAUCGUGAUUGGGAUAGAUGAUUGCAAUUUUUCAUCUUCAACGAGGAAUGCCUAGUAAACGCAAGUCAUCAGCUUGCAUUGAUUACGUCCCUGCCCUUUGUACACACCGCCCGUCGCUCCUACCGAUUGAAUGAUCCGAUGAAUAUCAUGGGUUGAGGAUUAUAGCAGGUUCGCCUGUCUUGAUCUUCGAGAAGUGAAGUAAAUCUUAUCAUUUAGAGGAAGGAGAAGUCGUAACA
This 329-nucleotide ribosomal RNA is filed under the name uncultured eukaryote. RNAcentral describes it as "partial 18S ribosomal RNA". It matches the Rfam family "Eukaryotic small subunit ribosomal RNA", at positions 1470 to 1796 of the family's 1831-position model. The record is from RNAcentral.